GACGAACGCUGGCGGCGUGCCUAAUACAUGCAAGUCGAACGAACUCUGGUAUUGAUUGGUGCUUGCAUCAUGAUUUACAUUUGAGUGAGUGGCGAACUGGUGAGUAACACGUGGGAAACCUGCCCAGAAGCGGGGGAUAACACCUGGAAACAGAUGCUAAUACCGCAUAACAACUUGGACCGCAUGGUCCGAGCUUGAAAGAUGGCUUCGGCUAUCACUUUUGGAUGGUCCCGCGGCGUAUUAGCUAGAUGGUGGGGUAACGGCUCACCAUGGCAAUGAUACGUAGCCGACCUGAGAGGGUAAUCGGCCACAUUAGGACUAUGAGACACGGCCCAAACUCCUACGGGAGGCAGCAGUAGGGAAUCUUCCACAAUGGACGAAAGUCUGAUGGAGCAACGCCGCGUGAGUGAAGAAGGGUUUCGGCUCGUAAAACUCUGUUGUUAAAGAAGAACAUAUCUGAGAGUAACUGUUCAGGUAUUGACGGUAUUUAACCAGAAAGCCACGGCUAACUACGUGCCAGCAGCCGCGGUAAUACGUAGGUGGCAAGCGUUGUCCGGAUUUAUUGGGCGUAAAGCGAGCGCAGGCGGUUUUUUAAGUCUGAUGUGAAAGCCUUCGGCUCAACCGAAGAAGUGCAUCGGAAACUGGGAAACUUGAGUGCAGAAGAGGACAGUGGAACUCCAUGUGUAGCGGUGAAAUGCGUAGAUAUAUGGAAGAACACCAGUGGCGAAGGCGGCUGUCUGGUCUGUAACUGACGCUGAGGCUCGAAAGUAUGGGUAGCAAACAGGAUUAGAUACCCUGGUAGUCCAUACCGUAAACGAUGAAUGCUAAGUGUUGGAGGGUUUCCGCCCUUCAGUGCUGCAGCUAACGCAUUAAGCAUUCCGCCUGGGGAGUACGGCCGCAAGGCUGAAACUCAAAGGAAUUGACGGGGGCCCGCACAAGCGGUGGAGCAUGUGGUUUAAUUCGAAGCUACGCGAAGAACCUUACCAGGUCUUGACAUACUAUGCAAAUCUAAGAGAUUAGACGUUCCCUUCGGGGACAUGGAUACAGGUGGUGCAUGGUUGUCGUCAGCUCGUGUCGUGAGAUGUUGGGUUAAGUCCCGCAACGAGCGCAACCCUUAUUAUCAGUUGCCAGCAUUAAGUUGGGCACUCUGGUGAGACUGCCGGUGACAAACCGGAGGAAGGUGGGGAUGACGUCAAAUCAUCAUGCCCCUUAUGACCUGGGCUACACACGUGCUACAAUGGAUGGUACAACGAGUUGCGAACUCGCGAGAGUAAGCUAAUCUCUUAAAGCCAUUCUCAGUUCGGAUUGUAGGCUGCAACUCGCCUACAUGAAGUCGGAAUCGCUAGUAAUCGCGGAUCAGCAUGCCGCGGUGAAUACGUUCCCGGGCCUUGUACACACCGCCCGUCACACCAUGAGAGUUUGUAACACCCAAAGUCGGUGGGGUAACCUUUUAGGAACCAGCCGCCUAAGGUGGGACAGAUGAUUAGGGUG
This 1491-nucleotide ribosomal RNA is filed under the name Lactiplantibacillus plantarum. RNAcentral's name for it is "bacterial SSU rRNA". It matches the Rfam family "Bacterial small subunit ribosomal RNA". The record is from RNAcentral. Lineage: Bacteria; Bacillati; Bacillota; Bacilli; Lactobacillales; Lactobacillaceae.